AGGCAGUAGGCAGCCAGGCUUGAGAACUUGCCCCAGGAUACCCACCUGCCAGCUGCGAAAGAAAAGGGCUUGGUUCUUCCCCUACCUGUGGAGUCUGCACACCAGAUUUGUGCUCUCCCCAGAGUUCUGGCCAGGAGGCUUCUCACCUGGCUCAAAUUGUUACAAAGUUCACCUGGAGAUUUCCUUCUCCCUGUGGUGUUUCCCCCGCUCCUCUGACCACCCUCCUGAUGGAUCCCUGUGGUGCCAGCACUUUGUUACUGGCUUUCGUGUCCUGAAGUGAAACUGACCAGAAACAUUAAACUCUCUGUAUGAAUCAUAUGGAGUGAAAAUUGCUACUCAGUGAAGCAAACAGAUAGUCCAAAGUGUUACAAAGUGAGAAGAUGCUUAUCAAGAAAAAUGAAAGGGUUGAUGAUAUGCCAGAAGUAUUUCAUAGACCCAUUUUCAACUUCCUAUUGAAAAUUGUUACUGAAAAAGAAGACAAGAGAAGACUACACGUUAUGAACUAAGAGUUGGCACAGGGAAAGAGGAAAAAUAAAAGCAUGACUGGGAACAAGAAGACCUGCAGGGUCAACUGACAUGAGGAACUACUUCCCCCUUGAAAAUGCAAGAAGAACCAGUCUCGGCAUAAGGUAGACACCUAAUAUAGCAGAGGAGAAGGUCAGAAAUAACAGAAGGUUUGCAUGAAAUUAUUGAAUCAAAGCUCACCAAACAUCUUGGUCAUUAGUUUUAUGAGACAGUAAACCACGAUACUAUCAUCAGUGUUUUUUGUUUCUGAUAUGGUUUGGCUGUGUGUCCCCACUCAAUGCCAGCCCGUGAAAGCAGCUGGGAGGGAGGCUAUACCCUGCAAAGCCACAGGGGCGGAGCUGCCCAAGACCAUGGGAAACCACCUCUUGCAUCAGCAUGACCUGGAUAUGAGACAUGGAGUCAAAGGAGAUCAUUUUGGAGCUUAAGAUUUGACUGCCCUGCUGGAUUUCAGACAUGCAUGGGGCCUGUAGCCCCUUUGUUUCAGCCAAUUCCUCCCAUUUGGAAUGGCUGUAUUCACCCAAUGCCUGUAUUCACUCAAUGCCUGUAUCCCCAUUGUAUCUAGGAAGUAACUAACUCGCUUUUGAUUUUACAGCUCAUAGGCAGAAGGUAUUUGCCUUGUCUCAGAUGAGACUUUGGACUGCGGACUUUUGAGUUAAUGCUGAAAUGAGUUAAGACUUUAGGGGACUGUUGGGAAGGCAUGACUGUUUUCGAAAUGUGAGGACAUGAGAUUUGGGAGGGGUCAGGGUGGAAUGCUAUGGUUUGGCUCUGUGUCCCCACCCAGAUCUCGAAUUGUACUCCCAUAAUUCCCACGUGUUGUGGGAGGGACCCAGUGGGAGAUAAUUGAAUCAUGGUGGUGGUUUCCCCUAUACUGUUCUCAUGGUAGAUGAAUCAGUCUCUUGAGAUCUGAUGGUUAGAUAAGGGAAAAUCCAUUUUGCUUGGCUCUCAUUCUCUUUCUUUGCCUGCUGCCAUCCAUGUAAGAUGUGACUUGCUCCUCCUUGCCUUCCACCAUGAUUGUGAUGUCUCCCCAGCCAUGUGGAACUGUAAACCGUCAGUGUGUUUCCAUAGACCAGGUUUUGACUCCCAGUAUCAGGAAUUCUACCUCAUAUAAUUGUGCAGUUGAGCUGUUGCACUCCACGUAAGACUUCAGCCAAGAAGACAACAGGGUAGCUGGAAGGCCAGACUUCUCUCAGCCAUCCUGGAGUCAACUUAAGAUGCAGACACCUUUUUCUAAUUGGCAUUGUCAGUGGGGGGCACUUUUUUCAAAUCUGUCCCCUUGGGGAAAGCUAUUUCUCUCAUAUGCAUCAAAGCACUGUAUAUGCCUGUUGGCCCUACCUAUAUGUAUCUCAGGAUUAAAUAAAUAAAUAAAUAAAUAAAAGCUAUUGCCUUGUUUUUCCAGGAAUAGUUCUGUAGUUUUUGCAGAACAAGAAGUCUGCAUUCAAAGUAACAUGCAGUUUCACUGUUAUUGCCCUGUCCAAGCUUGUGGUGUAAUUUCUUCUUCAUUCACUCAGUCUCACAAAAGGGAUAAUGAAAUCAACUUUCAUCCAACUUCAGGCAAUCAUAAAACUCUGAGAUUUACAGCUACCACUGCAAAGUCAGUGAGUAUUGUAAGAGCCUUGAAUUAGAACAAGUAGUAAAGAAUCCAUGUAAGAAUAGGAAGCUCUGAGGUUGUAUAUACUAAGACCUUAGUGUUACCUAGACUCACCUCACAGCUUGUGGAAAAAGCUGAUUCCUGGUCCUACCAUAGAUACUCUGACUUGGAUCUGAGGAGGGCCAGCUUCAUCUUGAGAAUUCUAUGUAGGGUAGGGCUUAGGGGAGGCCAUCUGGUUGGAAGACGAAGCUGGGAGGUUUGCCAUGAGGCUAUGUUUGUAAAGAAAGCACACUCUUUUUAACUUAGUGUGUAUGUUACAGAUCAAUAUCAAUAUAAAAGUUUCCUAAACUUUUACUCACACUUUAUAUAAAAGUGAUUACAUUGGCCAUAUUAAAAGUAAGAUUUUUAUUUGGGAAUGAAGGGAGCUGAUGGAGACUGGGUUGGCUACUGCCCUUGGCACCACCACUGAGUUUAACCCAGAUGUCUGCCUUUUUAACCAUCACCAUAGAAAAGCCUAGUUUAUUUAUUCAUCCACUCAACAAAAUGUUUAUUGAGAUACCAGUAUGUGCUGGACAUUGUUAGAGAUAUGUUCUUGGGAC
This 2712-nucleotide long non-coding RNA is filed under the name Homo sapiens (human). RNAcentral describes it as "HSALNT0041929". The record is from RNAcentral. Lineage: Eukaryota; Metazoa; Chordata; Mammalia; Primates; Hominidae.